GAUACAAUUGAUAUCUACUCGUGAUAUUCACAGUAUUAACUAUAUCAGUUCAAGUACAUUAUAUGGCACACAUCUAUACCCAAGAGGAUAGCAGAUCUCUCUUCGAGAUUUCUAUGCUGAACCCUUUCAGCAUAUAAUCUCUGUACUUUAUAUGUGAAAGCAUAAGUAUCCAAUUGCAUCUAUCUCUAUAAAUCUUUAUAAUAUACGAUACUUGCUUUAUAUCUUUCAUAGAGAAUUCUAUAUACA
Molecule: long non-coding RNA, 246 nt
Filed under: Elaeis guineensis (African oil palm)
Lineage: Eukaryota; Viridiplantae; Streptophyta; Magnoliopsida; Arecales; Arecaceae
Description: long non-coding RNA (EGUI_LNC039353)
Source: RNAcentral